Long non-coding RNA from Salvia miltiorrhiza (redroot sage), 737 nucleotides. RefSeq lists it as uncharacterized. The transcript is spliced from 3 exons. The record is from RefSeq and is a predicted model, not a curated record. NCBI's taxonomy places the organism in Eukaryota, Viridiplantae, Streptophyta, Magnoliopsida, Lamiales, Lamiaceae.
AAUGCGAUGAUUUAAAAUCGAAGCCAGUAUUUAUUUACAGUUCACAGAUUACAGUCUAGUUUCCAGCUUGGGAAAAUCGUCUAGUAUAUUACAAAAGCAAAAGCUCUUCAAUCAAUUAAAGUUUAGAUAAAAUUUUUAUUUCAUCUUUUGCUAGUUACUCCACCAACACCACUCCAACCUUUUGCUUUCCUCCCUCAGCCAACCACCACCACUAUCUCCAAUAUCUCCAAUGAUUUAACUAUCAACUCCACCACCACUUGCUCUCCACCCAACAAAUGCAAUAUUCACUCUCAUUUCAAUUUCAUCCAAAAGUUCAGAGGAUCAAUUCCAGUUCAGCCGAAACUCUCAAGGUAAUGCUUGGUUUCAAUGCUUUCUUCUCCUUUGAUUAAGUUCAUCCUGCAAUUGUUAAGCAAAUAAGCAAUUUAUUUCAGUUUCUAUCCACUGAUUCAAACACCACAGCAGCCAACAUCAAUUACAAGCCUAAAUUUCUCAUUGAAUUCAAUAGCAACAAACAGCCACCAACACCAAGCAUAGCAGGUCAAGCGCGAGAGUAAGAACUACACAAGGAGUUAGAGUACCUUAGCAAAACUUUGCUAUCAGGUUGAGUUGUGAUGGGCGAUGAAGUGUUGCUGAGUGGAGUUUUUGUUGAACUUAAAGUAGGCUCAGAAAGGAUACAUGUCUUCAUACAUGUAUCUCAGUUAUGCAUUCCGCUGUAAACACUGAUUAUUUCAGUUACA